AUUGAACGCUGGCGGCAGGCCUAACACAUGCAAGUCGAACGGUAACAGGAAGCAGCUUGCUGCUUUGCUGACGAGUGGCGGACGGGUGAGUAAUGUCUGUGAAACUGCCCGAUGGAGGGGGAUAACUACUGGAAACGGUAGCUAAUACCGCAUAACGUCUCAAGACCAAAGAGGGGGACCUUAGGGCCUCUUUCCAUCGGCUGUGACCAGAUGGGAUUAGCUAGUAGGUGGGGUAACGGCUCACCUAGGCGACGAUCCCUAGCUGGUCUGAGAGGAUGACCAGCCACACUGGAACUGAGACACGGUCCAGACUCCUACGGGAGGCAGCAGUGGGGAAUAUUGCACAAUGGGCGCAAGCCUGAUGCAGCCAUGCCGCGUGUAUGAAGAAGGCCUUCGGGUUGUAAAGUACUUUCAGCGGGGAGGAAGGGAGUAAAGUUAAUACCUUUGCUCAUUGACGUUACCCGCAGAAGAAGCACCGGCUAACUCCGUG
This 490-nucleotide ribosomal RNA is filed under the name uncultured bacterium. RNAcentral's name for it is "partial 16S ribosomal RNA". It matches the Rfam family "Bacterial small subunit ribosomal RNA", at positions 30 to 507 of the family's 1533-position model. The record is from RNAcentral.